UGAGGAAUAUUGGUCAAUGGACGGAAGUCUGAACCAGCCAUGCCGCGUGAAGGAUGAAGGCGUUCUGCGUUGUAAACUUCUUUUAUCUGGGAAGAAACCACAGAUUUCUAUUUGUGUUGACGGUACCAGAGGAAUAAGCACCGGCUAACUCCGUGCCAGCAGCCGCGGUAAUACGGAGGGUGCGAGCGUUAUCCGGAUUUACUGGGUUUAAAGGGUUCGUAGGCGGGCUAUUAAGUCAGAGGUGAAAUCUCCGGGCUCAACCUGGAAACUGCCUUUGAUACUAUUAGCCUUGAAUUAUGUUGAGGUUGGCGGAAUAUAACAUGUAGCGGUGAAAUGCUUAGAUAUGUUAUUGAACACCGAUUGCGAAGGCAGCUGGCUAAACAUAUAUUGACGCUGAUGCACGAAAGCGUGGGUAGCGAACA
RNAcentral lists this ribosomal RNA (422 nucleotides) under uncultured bacterium. RNAcentral describes it as "bacterial SSU rRNA". It matches the Rfam family "Bacterial small subunit ribosomal RNA", at positions 355 to 774 of the family's 1533-position model. The record is from RNAcentral.